RNAcentral lists this ribosomal RNA (329 nucleotides) under uncultured eukaryote. RNAcentral's name for it is "partial 18S ribosomal RNA". It matches the Rfam family "Eukaryotic small subunit ribosomal RNA", at positions 1470 to 1796 of the family's 1831-position model. The record is from RNAcentral.
CCCUUAGAUGUUCUGGGCCGCACGCGCGCUACAAUGAUGAAUUCAACGAGUUUAUAACCUUGGUUGAAAAGCCUGGGUAAUCUUUUGAACUUUCGUCGUGAUGGGGCUAGACCCUUGCAAUUAUUGGUCUCCAACGAGGAAUUCCUAGUAAACGCAAGUCAUCAGCUUGCAUUGAUUACGUCCCUGCCCUUUGUACGCACCGCCCGUCGCACCUACCGAUUGAAUGGUCCGGUGAAAUCUUCGGAUUGAGACUUUGAUUUCUUCACGGAAAACGCUGUUUUAAAAAGUUGAUUAAACCUUACCAUUUAGAGGAAGGUGAAGUCGUAACA